UGGGCGGUAAUUAAUAGUGUGUCAGGUUAUCAUUCCUAUAGUUAUAUAUCUUUUAUUUUUUUACCAUAUCACUCUAUUUCUUUUUUUCAUUUGUCAAUUGGUGUCUUUCAUAUUUGUCCUACAUGCAUGAAGUAUUUGCCACUGGACGUUAAGCAACCAACAAUUAAUAAAUCAAUCUAUUCUUUAUAUUUCUUCAUUUCUUUAGUAUGGUAAUUACAGUAUUUGGUCCCAUUAUUCUCUUUUUUGAAAAUCCCAUAAAUAUCCUUAUGAAAGGUGACCCAAUCAUAGCCUCAUACAUGUACAUGGUAAUUUAAACAGAGAAAAUAAACCUUAUAACUUACUG
RNAcentral lists this long non-coding RNA (343 nucleotides) under Mytilus galloprovincialis (Mediterranean mussel). The record is from RNAcentral. Lineage: Eukaryota; Metazoa; Mollusca; Bivalvia; Mytilida; Mytilidae.